This 253-nucleotide ribosomal RNA is filed under the name uncultured bacterium. RNAcentral's name for it is "partial 16S ribosomal RNA". It matches the Rfam family "Bacterial small subunit ribosomal RNA", at positions 524 to 776 of the family's 1533-position model. The record is from RNAcentral.
UACAGAGGGGGCAAGCGUUGUUCGGAAUUACUGGGCGUAAAGCGUGCGUAGGCGGUGAGUUAAGUCUGUCGUGAAAUCCCCGGGCUCAACCUGGGAAUGGCGAUGGAUACUGGCUCGCUAGAGUGUGAUAGAGGAUGGUGGAAUUCCCGGUGUAGCGGUGAAAUGCGUAGAGAUCGGGAGGAACAUCAGUGGCGAAGGCGGCCAUCUGGAUCAACACUGACGCUGAGGCACGAAAGCGUGGGGAGCAAACAGG